Molecule: long non-coding RNA, 4148 nt
Organism: Amphiprion ocellaris (clown anemonefish)
Lineage: Eukaryota; Metazoa; Chordata; Actinopteri; Pomacentridae
Exons: 3
Source: RefSeq, a predicted model, not a curated record
UUGGCCACAAGGUGGUGGUAGAAGGCCAUUAUUGUCCCUAAGAUUGAAUUUGAUGAAUUUUCUUAGUGCGCGAAGAAGUGCUCGAUGUGAUCAUCUUUCCGAAAUACGCCAUCUUUACUUUCUCUGUGUGGAUGCUACGCUGGAGCUAGAGCUGGAUUUACUCAGAAAACAAACCAUAAACGAGUUAUUUUGACACUAAAGUUAACUGCAGAAGUUACGGAAGUAGACAAGAAUCAUCAGGCGUCUUUGAGCCACGUAGAAGUCGAUAUUCCGGCUGGUUUUCUGAGGAUUCUCUUCAGUGGGACUUUGAUCUUCAUCCAUCUGCUGCGUGUUGAUGUCCAUCCAUGUCCACAUCUCCAUCUCCAUCACACUGGGAUUGUCCAUCACCUCGGACCGUCUCGUCAGACAUUCAUUAUAAGGAGGAGCAGGGUUCUGUCGCUGCUCCGGCUCCAACGUAUGGCGAGGAAACUUAAAAGUUGCACAGCAUCUCAGGCAGCUCAGAUGUGAUCAGUGAGUCAACGUGACGCCACAAAAACAACAAAACAAAGACGGAGGAUCUGUGGGUUUAAUCCUCAGGACAAGGCUGAAGAGGACUUACCCAAAAGUGAGACAAAAACAUGAAAGUUUCAAAAUGUACAUGAAAUACCCAGAAUUUUCCAAAAUUUAUUGUGUAUUUUGCAAGUUCCACUAUUACUUUUUUGCAUGUUUUUACCUAAAUCUAAUGUGGAAAACAGAAUUAGAUCUUAUAAAGUCCAUUAUGUUUUAAAUUGUCACCUCGUGCCUAUAGAAAAGACACAACUUGAUGCAUAAAAAUUCACUAGAAUGCAAUAAGUUAAGUGUUUGACACUUAAUGACCCCAACAUUUAAAUAAAACCUAUACCCAUUAAUUCACCUUACUAGAAAUGAGGCUAAUUACAGAAUAAACAGUUUUUUCACCAAAAGUUAGAGCAAGUUUUCAACAUUAUUGUGAUCUCUUGACUUUCUUGAUGUUAUUGACACCAAAAACAUGGCAAUUUUUAUUAGACUGUAUAACAAAGAUUGUUAUUAUUAUGGUGGUAAUAGCAUCAUGAUGUGACGCAUGGUGGUGGCAGCAUCAUGACGUGAAGCACGGUGGUGGCGGCAUCAUGAUGUGAAGCACGGUGGUGGCAGCAUCAUGAUAAAUGAUAUUUUUGCAGUAUGAAAGAACUGUGGCCCUAAGACUCUCAGAUGUCCACCCCGUGUCUUUCUAAAAGUACUUAUUCUGGUGAAAACAGUAAAGUCUACCAGGAAUGACCUGAAUGUUAAAGUAAAAAUCACAAACCUUUCAGAACUGACAGUUCACUUCCUGUCCUCUAGAGGCAGAUCUGGAGUCAGCAGCAGUUUAUUAAUAAUUCAUUCCUUCAGUGUGUUUGGAAGCUGAUAUCAGUCUCUCUGUCUGCUGGUUCAGCACCACCCUGCUUCCUCCUCUCAGCCUCUAAAGUCACAGUUUGGGAAAUUUAAUCUUCUGAAAUCAGUCGGGCGGCUACAAGAAGCUGAUAUCUGAUCAUAACAAGCAGAACAAUUGAUAAUGUUUGAUGAGAUCAUCUGUUUUCUGAACCUGUUCGGUUUAUCAUCUUAGAUUUUUCUCAUGUCGCUCCAACUUUUCAUGACUAAAACUCACAAUUUUGGGGCUAGAAGUCACCAAUUAUAAUUGCUAAUCCAAUUUUAUGGAUUUUAAAUCAUUGGCAAGAUGAAAAAUAAAAUAAAAACUUUAGAAAAUGUGAUAAUUUUACUUUUUUAUCUUUAUCUUUCUCCAGAGGGUCCAAUCCGACCCUCAAAGUGUAAAAAUUCCAGAGAAGAUAUUAACUGCAGAUUGUAAAUUAGUAAAACCAUAAAUUUAAAAUAAUUACUAGUUGUUUUGAUCAUAAAGUGAAAUACUAGAUUGUUCAUUGUUCUUUUGUCAUUUUGUGUCUCAUUUUUGUAAUAUUGUGUCUCGUGGUUUUGUUGUUUUGUUUCUUGUUUUUGUCGUUUUGUGUUUCCUUUUUGUCUCGCUUGUGUUUUUUGUCUUAUUUUUGUCAUUUUGUCUUUCGCUUAAUUCUCUUUGUUUUGAGCAUCAUUUUUGUCGUUUUGUCUUUUUUUUGUUUCGCUGGUGUUGUUCUUCCAUGUUUUUGUCGCUUUGUAACUUUUUUGCCUCUUGUUUUGGUUCAUGUCGUUUGUCUAAUUUUUUUUGUCAUUUUAUUUCUCACUUUUGUUGUUUUCUGUCUCAUUGUUGUAAUAUUUUUGUCUUGGUUUUGAUGUUUUUUGUCUUUUUUGUCUGAUUUGUCAUUUGUCUCAUGUUUUUAUCGUUUUGUCAUAUAAAAUAAUUCAACCAUCUAGUACUGAUUAAAACUCACCCAGUUUAGUGUCGGCGCUGCAGUGACCCAAAUUAUGUCAAACUGUGACCCAGUAAUCUGAAUAUUUGGCACUUCAGAUGAAAACAUGAGUCAAAACUCUUUUUUUAAUGUAACUCCAGUGUCUGUGUGCAGAAGUUGACCCAGUUUUAGUUCUAAACAUCGGUGCAGUUCUGGGUUAACUGAUCAAAACCAGUCCAACAUUAGAGUCUGUUCUGAUCAGUUUAACCCACUUCCACCUAAACUUACAUCAGUGUUUCUCUCUGAUCCACGUGUUUGAGACUUUAGAAAGUGCGUCUUGUUUAAUAAAAUUAGCAACACAUCUAUGAGCUUGUUGUGUGUGAAACUGGGCCAAAAAUAUAUAUUUUAUUUCAGUACAUAAGCCAGCAGUAACACAGAACAACUCACUGAUAACACAGUGUUGUUUUAGAUUUUGCAUUUGUGUAAAUCUAACUGGGAAACGUUGAAAAACUGGAAAAUUCAAGUUCUUUUUCCUUAAAAUUCAGAAGCAGCAGUGCUGAAUGUUCAGUUUACGCUGAGAGGAAUCAAAGUCUUUAAGUACAUCUGACGUAAAAACGGCGGCUCUGAUGUUACCUGUGUGCUUUUUUGACUUUUUUGACCCUGAUUUGAACUUGAUUGAUGACCUGAUUGGCUGUGUGUUAAUUAAUGAUGUCAUAUAAGCGCAUUUAAAACCUACAUUUUCAUUUAAAAGCUAUAUGUGAGCCCACAUUUUAAGUCAAAAAUGAGAUUUUUUUUUUUAAGCUGGUUUGUUCUCCUGUCAAUACUGAAGUCAGAAAUUUAAAAAAACAAGAAAAAAAAGUGUAAAAACGUGGAGCUCCUGCGUCGGGUUACAAAACAUCUGCAGACUACCGCUGGGACCAAAGAGGAGGAAGAAGAAAAGGAGGAUGAGGAGAAGGUUGUCAUGGUGACCGGUCCUCCUGCUGACGGGGGUGAUGAUGUAACACCGGGUCUCUUUUCCCGUCCUUGUCCUCCCCACCGACACCAUCACACGGCUGCUUGCAUGUGACAGGAGAGAGUGGAAGACAGACAAAGGAAGAGUCCAGCGAGGGUUCGAAUGACCCCAGAAGACGAGUUAUCUACUUUAAGAACAACCUGCUGCAAUCAACUCCCCAAAAACACACAUUAGUGUUCCUUUUCAACACAACCGAUGCUCGUAAUUUCAAAAGAAGCCCGCUGCUGUCGAGAUAAAACCUGUUUGGUCUCCUGUAGUCGCUGCUCCCUGCCGCUCAGAUCACAUCAUCAAAGCUCUGAGCAUCAUUAAGGCACAAACCACAACAGGAGAGGCUUUUAUUGUGAAGCUGCAGAGGAUGAUUCCUGCCACAUGAGGGCGUCAAUCAGCCACUGAGCUCCAAGGAAGAAGAACAAAAGCAACACAACAGAUGAAACGCUGCAUUCUCAGGUCAGAUUUAAUUCACAGAUUGGAAAUAUACAUCAGUCACAAACAAGCUGUGCAAAGCAGGUAUUUCUAUUUCAAGAUUUGAAAAUAGAAGCAGAAUUUCUUCUUUCAACAAAAUGAGACAUGAAAGGCUUCAAGAGUUAUACUGAACAAAAAAACAAACGCACCACGCCUUCUUUACUUGCCAAGAGAAACGCUUCAAAAUCUGUUUUAUUGUUGGUAGAAGAUGGUUAAAGUUAGCUAAAAGUGCAAAAAAUAUGUUCAACUGGGGACUAAUUCUUAACCACAGAGUUGACUUAGAAGGACAAGAAUCAGAUAGUUUGACCACAGACUCUCCUUUGACCAUCAGCUGCUUUGGCUUCAAACAAAAACCAAGAAGAACU